Molecule: ribosomal RNA, 451 nt
Filed under: uncultured bacterium
Lineage: Bacteria
Description: bacterial SSU rRNA
Rfam family: Bacterial small subunit ribosomal RNA
Source: RNAcentral
GUGGGGAAUAUUGGACAAUGGGGGGAACCCUGAUCCAGCCAUGCCGCGUGUGUGAAGAAGGCCUUUUGGUUGUAAAGCACUUUAAGCGAGGAGGAGGCUACCGAGAUUAACACUCUUGGAUAGUGGACGUUACUCGCAGAAUAAGCACCGGCUAACUCUGUGCCAGCAGCCGCGGUAAUACAGAGGGUGCAAGCGUUAAUCGGAUUUACUGGGCGUAAAGCGCGCGUAGGUGGCCAAUUAAGUCAAAUGUGAAAUCCCCGAGCUUAACUUGGGAAUUGCAUUCGAUACUGGUUGGCUAGAGUAUGGGAGAGGAUGGUAGAAUUCCAGGUGUAGCGGUGAAAUGCGUAGAGAUCUGGAGGAAUACCGAUGGCGAAGGCAGCCAUCUGGCCUAAUACUGACACUGAGGUGCGAAAGCAUGGGGAGCAAACAGGAUUAGAAACCCUAGUAGUCC